This 775-nucleotide ribosomal RNA is filed under the name uncultured Neocallimastigales. Its description in RNAcentral is "partial large subunit ribosomal RNA". It matches the Rfam family "Eukaryotic large subunit ribosomal RNA", at positions 23 to 616 of the family's 3401-position model. The record is from RNAcentral. Lineage: Eukaryota; Fungi; Neocallimastigomycota; Neocallimastigomycetes; Neocallimastigales.
AGAGAGAGACAUGCGCGCAUAUCAAUAAGCGGAGGAAAAGAAACUAACAAGGAUUCCCCUAGUAACGGCGAGUGAAGCGGGAAGAGCUCAAAUUUGAAAUCUUAAAGGGUUUCCCUUUACGAAUUGUAGUUUAAAGAAGUGUUUUCUGUUGAGGUUUUGGUAAAAGUUCUUUGGAAUAGGACAUCAUAGAGGGUGAGAAUCCCGUAUUUGACCAUUACUUUCCAACUUUGUGAUACACUUUCAAAGAGUCGGAUUGUUUGGGAAUGCAGUCCAAAAUGGGUGGUAAAUCUCAUCUAAAGCUAAAUAUUGGCGAGAGACCGAUAGCGAACAAGUACCGUGAGGGAAAGAUGAAAAGAACUUUGAAAAGAGAGUUAAACAGUACGUGAAAUUGUCAAAAGGGAAGCGUUUGACACCAGUGUUGUUUUUCUGAAAAUCAAUUAAAGAACUGUUUAUGCUAAGUUGUUUAGACUUUAUCAGCUAACUGUUUAGCUUUGAGCUUUUCUUUAAUGCACUUUUCAGUUAACAAGUCAACAUCAAUUUCUUUUGCUGUAAAAAAGCUUGAGGAAGGUGGCUUGAGAUUCGUCUUAAGUGUUUAUAGCCUCUUGCCUAUGCAGUCGGAGAGAUUGAGGUCUGCAGCGUAGAUCCUUCGGGGCUAAAUGCAUUUGUGCUAAGUUAUAGCAUUUUAUAGACAACUUGUUGACUAUGAUUUGUCUUGUAGCUUACUCGCUUAUGUUAUUUUACCUACGCUUAGGAUGUUGAGCGCAUGUCUCUCUCU